UACGUAGGGUGCGAGCGUUAAUCGGAAUUACUGGGCGUAAAGCGUGCGCAGGCGGUUUUGUAAGCCAGAUGUGAAAUCCCCGGGCUUAACCUGGGAAUGGCAUUUGGGACUGCAAGGCUGGAGUGCGGCAGAGGAGACUGGAAUUCCUGGUGUAGCAGUGAAAUGCGUAGAUAUCAGGAGGAAUACCGAUGGCGAAGGCAGGUCUCUGGGCUAGAACUGACGCUCAUGCACGAAAGCGUGGGGAGCAAACGGG
This 253-nucleotide ribosomal RNA is filed under the name uncultured bacterium. Its description in RNAcentral is "partial 16S ribosomal RNA". It matches the Rfam family "Bacterial small subunit ribosomal RNA", at positions 524 to 776 of the family's 1533-position model. The record is from RNAcentral.